ACCAGGCUGAAGUCACUUAUGUGGAGGCCCAGCUGUGAGAGUUGUCCUGGGAUGGGGGUUGGGGACAAAGCUGAUGAGGGCCAACAGCCUUUGGGAUGCAACUGUUGACCGUGUGUGCUAGGCACAACAUAACAUGAUCCAUUUAAUAUGCACACGGUAAGUUUCAGACAUUGAGGUCACUUGUGGAAACCAGAUGGCUAGGAGGGCAGGGAUGGGAUAGGCCUCAGGGACCAGUUCUUGAUGUAGUAUAUAACUGCUUGCUUAAGGAGAGCCAGAAAGGGGACUUCCUGUUGUCACCUACUCCCAGGGAGCAGCGGGGUGCAGAGCCAGCCUCUGAAAGUCUCCCUUGUUCUCUACUUGUUCAGGCUGGCCCUGGGAGGGUUGACUCCAAAGACCCGGGAUGUAGGUGAUAACUCCACGAAGGUGACAUCUGCACUUGCAAGCAGCAGGUGACACUUUGAAGACUUUGAAGACCCAACCUCAAGAGAGUGGGUUGCCAUACCCUUGGGGCCCUAAGUCUCUUUUACCCUGCCUCCCUCCCUCUCCUAGUAAGUUGGGGGCUUAAAGCAGAGGGCACAACAGGUAGAG
This 588-nucleotide long non-coding RNA is filed under the name Cricetulus griseus (Chinese hamster). RNAcentral's name for it is "lncRNA (ENSCGRG00015029323.1)". The record is from RNAcentral. Lineage: Eukaryota; Metazoa; Chordata; Mammalia; Rodentia; Cricetidae.